CUCCCACGAGGCCGCCGACCUUCUCGGGCCGGGCGAGGCCGCAGGGAAGGCGGCCCGUGCUGAGCGUCCCCGGCGUCCCCGCGUCGCAGCUGAGGGCCAGCGGCUCCCCGCGCCGCACGAGGGGCGCAGCCCUCGAGCAGAGUCGGGGCACCCGUGGGGCGGGUCCCGGGCUCCGGGAAUGCGGGCGGGCGAGGGAGGCCUGUCCGCCGGGAGGACCUCGCUGGAGCUGCGGCACGCGGCGGGCCGAGCGCCGCUCUGAGCCCGAGGGGCCCGGCGGACCCGGGUUCCUCAGCAGCCGGAGCGCCAGCUCUGGCCUCGCCUGCCCGCCAGAGCCGUCCUUGGGAACCCGGCUCUGCGCACCUCUGGCGCCUUUGGUACCCGGGCUGCGGGCCGCGGUCUCGGGCGCCCUCUCCAGGCCUCCGGGCGAGCUGCGGGCCGGAGCCCGGCCUCUACCGGGGCGGAGACCGGGGACCCCGGGGACCGGGAUGGGCCGCCCGGGGUGCAGCGAGGCCGCAGCGUCCGCCGGAGUCGGAGAAGGAGGCAAUGAGAGGCUGUGAGCCUCGGGCUUCUGGGGCGCUUUUGGAGCUGCUUAGCAAGGUCUCCAGACCGCAUCGUCCUUAGCCACAGCUGGUGAUCGCUCCUGCAAGGCAGGGGAACCAGGCUUCCGGACGGGGCUGAAGAGUAAACCGCGGCACGAAUUAAAAUGCUGUUUCUUUUCUCCCAAGUUAGGAGCUCUGGUUUGGGAGACACAGUAAGUUGCCUGGAUGCAUUCUAGAGAAGGUAUAAAACAUCAAGAAGAAAGGAAGAUCUUACUAACCAGAGAGAGAAGAUAGAUUAUCUACAUGGGAUUGGCAAAACGAUAACAGAUCUCAACUGCUGCAAAAUAAGCCAGAAUCUACAUAAUACCUUCAGAUGCUGACAGAAAAUAAUUAUCAAUGUAUCAUUUCAAAAUCAUAAAGCUAUCAUUAAAUAAUGAGUAUUUUAAAAAGUUUUUUCCUGACUGCUAAAUUAAUAAUAUCACCAUUAACAUCAGACUAGUAUUAACUGUCUUUCAUUAAAAGAAUUUCUACAAGAUGUACUUCAGGAGGAGGAAAAUGAUACCAGAAGACAGAGGGACUUCUGGAUGAGAUGAACAUUUAUCUUAGUUACUUUUCUCGUUGCUGAGAUAAAAAAUACUCAACAUCAAAAGUUAAAGGAAGAAAGGUUUAUUCAGCUCCCAGUUUGUGGAGACAUCAGUCUAUAGACAGCUGGCUCCAAGGCAGAGAAGCCUGACGGGAGAAAAGGUCCAUGGCAGGCAGAGCAGGCAGAAGGCAGCAAGCAGCAGCAGUAGCCAUCCUGCCUUUCCUCUCUCUCUAUCCAGGCUUUAAGCCUAUUGAUUGGUGCCACCCACAUCGAGGGUAGGGCUUCCAUUAUCCACACCCUUAAUCCAAGGAUCAUGUCCUUAAUCCCAGCUACACACUGUUAAUCCCAGUAUCACACUCAACCCACAUUCACCCUAAUCCAGCCACCUUUGAAACCCGCCCCCCCCAUGACUUCAUGAAGCUUUGUAUGUACAAGUAGGAGGCAGACUAAGCCUCUCAUUCCAAGGAAAUUUUUCUCAAAUUAUUCUAGUCUGUGGCUACCAAAUCCUGGGGCUGUGCAUAGCAGACAAGCACUCUGCCCUGAGCUAUGUGCCCAGGCCACAGGAGCCACGGCAGGUCUGAUGUGGCUCCUCUGCAUCACGUUCCACCGCCCUGCAGUGGAAACAGCAGGCAGGCUCACAGCACCAUCCUUGCCAGCCAAGACUGUAAGUGAAGUUUGUUUGCUUUUACCACAUCAAGUGGAGGCUGCUAUUUACUGGCCCUGCAGUAUGGACACACUGAAGAUCCCCUCCUUGGAUCAUAUUGGCCAAAAAGAUGAAGGUCAAAAGGUUAAAUGAAGCUGGGCCUGGUGGUGCAUGCCUGUAAUCUCAGCAUUCUGGGAGGCUGAGACAGGAAGAUCACAAGUUUGAGCCUGGCCUGGUUAAUUUAGUGAAUAGUAAGAUCCUAUCUCAAAAAUUAAAAAAGGGUUGGGGCUGUAGCAUGGGGUGAAGGCUCUUGGGUCAAUUCCUGGGGUCACAAAAUGAGCAAGCAAGCAAACAAGCAAAUACCAAACCGAAACAAAAAAAUCCUCAUUGUUGCAGAAGACUAAAUGGUGUGUUCAGUCAGACAGCAUGUUGGAGGUGGGAAAGGCAGACGGGCCUGCGUUGUUUGGCGGGCUGGGUUCUAGCCUGACUGUGCUGCUUCUUGUUGUUCCAGAUUUGGACAAAACACCCAGGGUUGCAGUGUCUUCUGGCUCUUACAUAUAAAAUACAUUGGCAACACCUUUCCUCUGAUGACAGAGAAGUAAAACACCAGUAUUUAGAGCAGUACUGUGAACCUCAUGUUUUACUUAAUUAUUAUUGGAACACUGCCAAAGUCUACUAAUUAAUGGCAGUGUGGAAGAGAAGAGCUCCAGGAAAGGGAUGAAUUGAUUGAUCUGGGUACAUUGUCUCUCGAAUGUAUUCAACUGAAGACUAUAUCCUUGGAUAUGUACUAAACAUACAAAAAUCAGAAGCCAAAACUUCAUAUCAGUUAACAGGAAAAUUGUUCGAUAUAUGCAGUACAAUGGAAUGGAAAGCAGUAUUUUAAUUACACCAUAUGUAUUUGGUUAAAUAAGAGUAUAAUGUUGCUAUGAACUUUUCUCAUGGUCUUGCAAUUUGCUUUACAUUUCUUUCAAUAGUGCUUAGUAUUUUGGAUAUGUACACUAUGGCAGUUAGAGUGGAGUGACAACUUUAAAAGCUUUUAAAAUUAAUAUAUAUUUGUGCUGCAUAUUAAUUACAUUUAUCUUGGGGAGCUGGUAUACAUUUAUAUUGCAUUUGAUCAUUCUUAUUCCCCCUCUGCUCUUUUUUCCCCAGAUCCCUUUGCAUCUACACAGAGUUUAUAUCCGUGUUUCUUACCAUCUCUCUUAUUUUGCUCUUUAAGUUAUAUAUUUGGGUCUCAUACUAGAGAAAUACCGAUUAUGUUUGGGCUCUGCCUUGGGGGAGUGGUGGAGCACAUAGUGGGUGUAUCUGAGAGGGCCCUGGAGGCGUGACUUAAAGUCUUUGUCUGGUCCUCUUACACCUUCCUCUCUGGCACUGUUUUCCUGCCCUGCUUCCUAGCCAUUGUGAACUGAGCAGUUUUGCUAUGUCAUGUCCCAUGGCAAUGACUUUUCUCCUUGGGAGCCAACUCACCAUGGACUGAAUCACCUGAGUCAAAUUAAACUUCUCCUUCUUCAAACUGUGAGUAUCAAUAGGAGAAAACUGACUAAUACAGGAAAUUGAUACUAGAGAAGUGGGGGUCAUUGCUGUGACUGUACCUGGUCAUGUGGUUUAGAAGCCUUUGGAACUGGUUUUCAGGAGGGGUUUGGAAAGAUUUGGAGAUGUAGGCUGGAGAACACCUAGUAUGCUGUAAGCAGAGCUUGACAGGUGAUCCUGGUUGGAGCUCAGAAGAUCAGAAUGCUGAUAGGAAUGCAGCCAGGCUCAGAAGGUUUCAGUGAGAACAAGGACUCAUUGGCAAUUGGAAGGGAUGUCAUACAUGAUACACACUGGCAGAAAAUUUGUCUCCAUUUCUCCCAUGUCCAGAGAUUUCUCUGGGGACAAAACUGUGAGUGCUGGGCUGAUGCACCUGCUGGAGGACAUUUCAAGAUAGCCCAACAUUCAGGUUGUGGCAUAAGUACUGCUGGCUGCUUUGGGCCAGAUUUAUAGUGAGAACUGGGGCCAAAUACCAGAGCAGAAAAAAUGGAAAAAUUUAAAUUUUAGCCCAGAAAAAAAAAAACAUGUGUAAAGUUGAGGCCAAAGAAGUGUGGUUGCUGAAGAGAUUAGUUCCACAAAAAGAAGCUAAGCACUUUGUACAGGCACAGGAAAAAAGAUGCCUUGAGGACAUCUCAGGACUCAGGGAGGCCCUACCCAUCACAGGCUCAAGGGUACAAAAAUAUAAACUUUACAUUUGAAGAGUCCCUGGGAGACCUGCUUGAGAAAGGCCUCAAUGAAAUUAGUUUCCUGGAAUUCAUUUCACUGUGUUCUGGCUUUGGAGUCUAUGUCUAGUCCUUCGGCCCCAUCCACUCUGCACUGUUCCCCUGCUCUGCUUCCUAGCCACCAUGAGCUAAGGAGCUCCGCUCUGCCAUGCCCUUCUGCCAUGAUGUUUCUGCUUUGAAGCCAGCUUGCCAUGGACUGAAGCCCCUUAAACUGUGAGUCACCUAAAGAUUUUCCUCCUUUAAUUUGUGGUGUCAGGUAUUGUAUCUAUAAAUGAGGAAUGUGACUAAUACACACACCAAAAAGGGAAAAAGUAGAAGGUGGGAUCAUAAGGGUUAACUGAAGCGUGCUGAAAACUAAGCAGAGGCUGAAUGUUAUCAUCCACAACCCAUGAAUCAGAAUGAGUGGUAGAAUCAGGGAAAAUACUUAUUGCAAAAUAUGCAGCACAUUUUUGGGCAGGGUACUCACCAGCAAUUUAAAAAUAACUGAUAGCUGAUUGAUGAAUAGUAUCUAACACAUGAAAAAUCUGUGUUCCCAUUUCCUGAGCAUGGCCACAUGGUAGUUGAUUGUGUGGCUGAAGCAGGACUUGCUGAUUUGCAAGUGAUGACAUGGACAUCAAGCUGCACUCCAUGCCAUUCAAAUAAUUCUUGUUUACUUCCAGACAGGAUCUGUAGAUACUCAUCAUAGCAGGGACCAAAAUUCUAGUAAUAGCAGCAGCUGCAAUUGAAAAUCAGUUGCAGAAUUUGAUCCACAGAGAAAAACUUUUCAUCUGAUCUGCACAGAGUUCCUGUGACACAGAGGAAAAGCUACACUGAUGAGGAGCAGGGAGCUGAAUGAUGAGAACAAGGGGCAGGAACACUAUGGGUCUUUCCCUGCUCCACAGUCCAACCUCACCCCCAUGCUCACCUUACCCCAGGCUCACUGGCUUCCUUGCUGUCUCCACAAGCCAGUUGUGCUGCAGUGCUACUCCAGAUACCAGGGGGCCUCUGCAUGCCCCAGCAAUCUGGUCAUGUGUGACUCCAUCCCACAAGCUUGCCCAGUGGUCCCAUAUAGAACGACCCCUCUGUCAUCCAUAUCAAUGCUCAUCUCUUCAGCUAUUUUAGUUGGCGUUACUACCACGUGAUAUAUUGAAUUUUUUAACUUUUCCCUUUAAAGCACAAGCCUUAUGAGAACAAAUUUUGUCUCUGUCUUGUUUGUUGCUACAUUUCAGAAGUUACCAUGCCUGGACUUAAAUUACUGGAAUAAGAGCAGGGUUCCAGGUCUUCCUCAUUGUGCUGAUAUGGGCUGGUCUGUCAGUGAUCUGUGACAUUUCCCGAGCUGGGCGUAGUGGUGCGUGCCUGUAAUCCCAGCACUUGAGAGGCUGAGGCAGGAUUGUUGGGAAGUUGAGACCAGCUGGACUACAUAGCUAGACUCUGUCUCAAAACAAGCAAGCAAGCAUUUCCUUUUUGGCACUUGGAAAGCCUUUGGGGUCAUCAGUCUUUACCACGUGUCUGCAAGUUUGAGCUGCCCUUCCAUGCCAUGAGUCAGGGCUCAGGGAGAAAGCACCACUUUUUCACCUCUUCCAUGCAUUGAAGUCUCUUUUCCCUCUCCCCAUGGGCUUCAGGUCCUUGCUGGGUCCCCGAGACCCACUUCCCUCCUGCUUCUCCCCCUCACAUUGUUAUAUUCCAGUGUCUGGCCACCAGAUCUGAGAGAGGCUGUUUUUCUGCUGCUCACCAGCAGCAUCUACCACCUUCCUGAAAGUCUUGGGAUCACACAGUUUAAAGCUGCCUCACAGGUCACGCAUGCUGAGGAAUGAGGGACAUGAAGAACUGGCCGUGCCACGUUGUCCUGGAGCUGGUAGCUGGGCUUCUGUGCAGACUGGGUGACAGGCAGGUGGGAGGAGAAACAGGACCCAGUCCCUUCACCUCUAGUGACACAGAGGGGCAGCAGCCUGAGCAGCACUAGUGUUGGAGUCACAGCGCUGCCCGGCGUGGUCCACUGUCAGCUCAGCCUGCUGCUGACGCCUGGAGAGCUCAGUGACCUCCCUCUCCAGCAGGAGCGACUGCAACUCUUGGAUGGAAUAGGGCAUGCUUGGGAGGGAGUGUUCAGAGCACAUAUCCUGGUUUCUGUAGACUGAAAAAUAAAACUGCCUUAAAGCAAGUUCUGAGGCGUGGUUUAUAUGUUGGCAUCCCCAAGAGCCUCACAUGUUCAUGGCAAGGCUUUUGGAAGAGGACUGGGGCAUGGGGACUUGUAGGUGACUUGUCGGGAGGUGGGCUCUGGUCAGAAGUGGUCUGAGGCUUGGCCUGGAGGGAGGUUCUCUUCCCCGCUCCUACCUUUGCUCUCUGCUUCUCGGCUGCCGCGAUGUGAGCAGCAUCCCUCUGGAGGCCCUCCAUCACACCUUCCUGCCCGGGAGCAGGUCACCUAUGAACCGAAAAUGUCUCUCCUCCUUGAAGUUAGGGGAAUUGGGUAUUGUGUCCCAGAAACAAGAAAGUAAUGAAGACAUAAGGUGAGUCACAAUAUUCAACCUUCCUACUUCCCCACAUACCUGAGGCCACUUCAGUGGGCAUGAGCAUUGGCUCCGUGAGUAACUACAGCCUGUUUAGGGAUGCAACUGGAUGCCACAGGAAGUAGCACAGAGAAAACCCCAUGCUGCACAGGGACAUCCGCUAACCCCACACUCUUACUGUGCUGCUGAAGAACGAAAGUUGGUGCCGCCGCCUCCUAAGGGGACGCUGUGGAUAGUUACUACUGCCUGACUAAAGGAAGUUAAGCCCGAACAGCCUGGCUGCCAGGAAGCCCUCCCCUUGACUCACACUUGUUUUUGGCAGUGCAGAGGAGUUGUGGUGCCAUAGGUUAUGGGGUGUGUGGUCCCCCCACCUGGCUGUCUUCCUGCUAUUUGUGUUCCAGAAGCAAGUGAACAUUCUCGGCUUCCCCAAAGCACCCGAUCAUAAAGAAGAACGUCUAUGGCCAGCACCUGGGAUGUGGACAGACUGAUGUGUUCUACACUAAGUGAGAAAACUAAUUGUGGUAUCAACUUGAAUAAGAAAAUCCCAGCUGAUUUGUUUAACAGAACUCUGGGUGUGGAUGAAGAGGGAAGACUCACCCACCAAUAGGCUUGCAGCCUGGAUGGAAUAAAAAGGGAAAGAAGAGGGAAGUCUUUCCUUUUUGCUUCAAAGGAGGAGCGCCAGUCUUUGCCAGUCCAUCUCUAGGCUUCCAGUGCCAACUCUUCAGCCUGCAGUGUAGACUCUUUGGCUUCCUGAGGCAGAAUCCAGUGAGACUCUGCAGUGAGCUCCAGCCCUUCGACCUUUGCCUGCAUCCUCCGGCUCUCCAGCAUGCAGAUGGCCUUUCUGUACUCCUCCACAGCUGCUUCUGCAAGUAGGCAUUGUGAUGGCUGAGUGACAGAAGCUGCGCUUGUCCCCAGGAGACCUCAGCUGGAGCCACUGGGACUCUGAAUUCGAGAGCCAGUACAGAAAUAGUUUUAGGUGUUACAACAACAGGCGGAAAACUCCAGUUCCAAGAAAGUGCUACCGAAACUCUGCCUCCUUUCUCUCACCCACAAGCCAAGCCAUGGCUUUGGCCCAGGCAAAAGCAGCCAGCACUGCCUCGGGCCUGCUGCACGGUGGCAGAAAAAGUUCACCUUGUCUCUGCCUGGAAUCGCAAGUAGUUCGGACCCUGGUGGUAAGUUCAAACGUUUGCUUCUGUAAUAGUUAAGCUACAGUGAAAUAACUCCAUUUUCACUUUCUCUGUCAAAUUUAUAUCUUAGAGUUUAAUGGACAUAAAAGCCUGCUGAUGUGCAAAUAGCACUCCUUUCCUCGCCUCAUAACUUAAAACUUACUCUGAACACAUAUUUAGUGAGCAUUUGAUAAUGAAGCUUAAACAAUAUUCUACGGAAAGACAGAUUUCUAACUGCUCAUCAAGAUGCCAUAAUACAUAUUCACGUAUAAUUUCUAUAUUCAGUAUAUACACCUGUUCUUUUAGAGGGCACCAUGUUAAGAAAGAUAAAUUUCAAGACAAAUUCAAAUUGCCUUCCAAGUAGUGCUCCUUUCAAAAGCAGUCUUUGCUAAUUUUGUGAGAGAGACUCCCCCAUACAUGUUUCCCUUUGUAAUUUCUACAUUACAAUUUAUUAGAAGAAAACAAACCAGUAGCACUGCACGACGAUAAUCUCAGCACUCUGGGAGACCGAAGCAGGGGGGUCGCAAGUUGAAGCCCAGGCUGAGCAAUUCAGUGACUUAGUUAGAUCCUGUUUUAAAAAUGAGAACAGAAAUUUAAGAAGACCUGAGGAUGUAUCUCAGGGUGAAGCCCUGGUUCAAAUCCCUAGGACCAGUGGGCAUGGAGGUGCAGCCUGUGAUUCCAGCACGCAGGAAUUGGAGGCUGGAGGGGCGGUGGGAGUUCGAGGCCAGCCUGGGCUACGUAGUGAGACCCUGUCUCCGAAACCAAAAAGAAAAAUAAACCCAGUACCACAAAAUUGAGUAAGUAAGUGAACCAAUAAAUCAAGAAGAAGACGAAGAAGAAACAGUCCUCAGAUUUAUAAACUUACAAACCCGACUUUUUAACAGUGGAGCUUCUGGCCUGUGAACCUAGCCGGAAGCAGGACCCUGCGUCACAGGCACGGGGGCAUGGCAGGCUCGGUGCGGGAAAGACCCCGCCGGAUGGAGCCGCGUGUGGAGCUGCCCGAGUCAGCACCACAGACGUGAGCAUCUGGAGCUUCUCCUCGGUGGGGACCCUCCCUUCCACCAGGCUCCCCUGGACAGUGGUCUUCUGCAGGGCCCCAGGCUCCCAGCCCGUCCGAAGCUCAUUGGAAGAACUUCCUGGCUUCUUCCCGUGCACGUCCUUCGCGCACACUGCACCCGGUUCUCCGCUUGCGCUAGCGCCGGUCCACUGAGGUGGGCGGACUUGUCUCACAGCAGAGACUCCGAGGAUCUUCGUGCAGUCCUGGGGACUGGGGCCACUUUGGGCUCCCCGGUCUUGGUAGAUGAAAUCUCUUGAUCUGCAAUCAAGAUGCUUAUUACUUCAUUCAGAUGUGCAUUCAAGUACCGAGGAGCUAUCAUGGGAAUCUAAGUAACAGAGCAUCUGAUCUUGAACAUCAGAAAUCCUACAAAGGGGCUCGGGGAUUUAACCCAGUAAUGCCGUGGCUGCCUCGCAGGUGUAAGGUCCUGAGCUCAAUCCCUGGUACAGAACAAAACAAAACAAAACAAAUUCUACAAAGGGAAAAGGGUAAGAAGGAGAAGAAAAGGAGACUGAAAGUUAUAUGUAUGUACUGCUUCUCCAAAACAAAUAUAAAUACUGUGUAUUACAAACACAUGUCAAUAAAAAUUUAAAAGGCCAAAAACUAUUCCUACAAAGAAGGUAAAGGGAGGGCCUGGAUUUAGCUCAGUGAUGCCGCCGCCUGCCUCGAAAGCGCAAGGUCCCGAGUUCGAUCCCUGGUACCAAAAAGAAAAGGUAAAGGAUAAUUCCAGAGUACUUGGUUAGUCAAGUUAAUCCGUGUGUGUGUGUGUGUGUGUGUGUGUGUGUGUGUGUAUUGCUGGGGAUUGAACUCAGGGCCUCCUGCACGCCAGGCCAGUGCUCUCCCCCUGAGCUACAGCCCCAGCCCCAGCCUGGUUCCAGCAUAUUUCCUUUAAGAGCUGAGACUUCAUAGAGCAGAGGUCUGGCUUGCAGUAGACACCCAGGAGAGGCAGCCAGCUGCUCCUGAGGUAGCAGAAGCAUAGGCUAAACCAUCCGAAUGAGGGUAAAUGACUCAAUCAGAGAAAACUGCCAAACGGCCUACAUAGCUUUUCAGUGCUUGCCUUGGCCCAAAUGUAGCCUCCGAUUGAUACUCAAUUUAGCAGGGGUUCUGGAGGCUAGUUUUGCCCAGAAUUGAGCCAGAACAUGAGCCAAAAUGUUUUACUUCACCUCUGAAGACUGUGAGCUGACUUCUCACUCUCGGAGUUUUCUCCCCAGAGACAAAUACAGCAGCGAUUCUCACCUGCAAGACCUGACGGUGACAAGGCCACAUGUUGAUGCCAUGCACAGGCACGCACAGAAGCACCAGGGCUGUAAACUCGGAGGUCACUGCCUGGAAUCCUGCUGCACCACGCUCUGUGUAGCAGUGUUCACUUAGUUCUCAGUUUGUAAAAUGGGGAUGACACCUGGCAGGGCUGUUGGAGAUUGGCGAGUUAACGCCUGUUAUUUGUUUCCCUGCAGUGCUGGACACACGUAAGGCCCACGACACGGUAGCUCUUACAGAUCACCUCUGUUUGUCGGGACUGAGAACAAAUUUUGAAUACAUAUUUAAGGCAGCUUCUAAAAGAGGGCACUAGAGAGCUCCAGUGGGAAUGAAGAUCAAGAGGAGACAGGUCUGUGGCUGAAUUGUGUCUAGAAAACAUGGAGAAAGACCAGAAAAAGCUUGAAGUAAAUACACACCUGGAGUUUUCCCACUAGAUCAAGUUCUUAAAGGUUUGUCUUAUCGAUCCACACAGCCUUGCCAAGCACUUCACACUGGAGCUGACGAGCCAUCUAUUAUUGGAAGGCUUAAAAGCUCUCUAGAGGGCCAGGGAUUUAGCUCAGUGGUUCCACCACCUGCCUUGCAAGCGGAAGGACCCGAGUUUGAUUCCUGGUACCAGAAAAAAAAAGUUCUCUAGAGUUGGGAGUAUAGCUCAGUGGUAGAGUGUGCGAGGCCGCAGGUCCAAUCCCCAGCACCAAAAUGAAUGAAUCAAUGAGUGAAUGAGUGAAUGAAUACUGUAAUAUUGAAAUCGAGUAAUGGGAGAAUGGCUGGAGAGUUGACAGGGACAUUGACACGGCAACAUAACUCAUGUGAUAUAUGAAACUGAAGGACCCUGGUUAGCGAGACAGACUCCAUAUUGCUGCUGAACGACCCACCUGCCUGCCCUUUGGAUGAACUCAGAAGGAGGAAGCUUAGAAACCUCCUCCCCUUAGAGAGUCUCUUAGAAACAACAAUUAAUCAAUUAUUGUUUUACAAGACGUUCGGCUUCCAUAGCUUUCGCUUGCUUUGCUAGUUCUAUCCCAUAGGGGGGCCUAGAAACUGCUGGCCUCAAAGGUGUAUAAAACAUGUUAAUCUCCCCCAGUCGGGACUCGAGUCCGAUGCUCGGCUCAGGUCCGGCUGGUAAUAAA
Molecule: long non-coding RNA, 11095 nt
Organism: Heterocephalus glaber (naked mole-rat)
Lineage: Eukaryota; Metazoa; Chordata; Mammalia; Rodentia; Bathyergidae
Source: RefSeq, a predicted model, not a curated record